RNAcentral lists this ribosomal RNA (468 nucleotides) under uncultured bacterium. RNAcentral's name for it is "partial 16S ribosomal RNA". It matches the Rfam family "Bacterial small subunit ribosomal RNA", at positions 28 to 507 of the family's 1533-position model. The record is from RNAcentral.
GACGAACGCUGGCGGCGUGCUUAACACAUGCAAGUCGAACGGAAAGGUCCUGCUUUUGUGGGGUGCUCGAGUGGCGAACGGGUGAGUAACACGUGAGUAACCUGCCCUUGACUUUGGGAUAACUUCAGGAAACUGGGGCUCAUACCGGAUAGGAGCUCCUGCCGCAUGGUGGGGGUUGGACAGUUUCGGCGGUUGGGGAUGGACUCGCGGCUUAUCAGCUUGUUGGUGGGGUAGUGGCUUACCAAGGCUUUGACGGGUAGCCGGCCUGAGAGGGUGACCGGCCACAUUGGGACUGAGAUACGGCCCAGACUCCUACGGGAGGCAGCAGUGGGGAAUAUUGCACAAUGGGCGGAAGCCUGAUGCAGCAACGCCGCGUGCGGGAUGACGGCCUUCGGGUUGUAAACCGCUUUCGCCUGUGACGAAGCGUGAGUGACGGUAAUGGGUAAAGAAGCACCGGCUAACUACGUG